RNAcentral lists this ribosomal RNA (276 nucleotides) under uncultured Alistipes sp. RNAcentral's name for it is "partial 16S ribosomal RNA". It matches the Rfam family "Bacterial small subunit ribosomal RNA", at positions 67 to 339 of the family's 1533-position model. Lineage: Bacteria; Pseudomonadati; Bacteroidota; Bacteroidia; Bacteroidales; Rikenellaceae. The record is from RNAcentral.
CAGCAUGGUCUUAGCUUGCUAAGGCUGAUGGCGACCGGCGCACGGGUGCGUAACGCGUAUGCAACCUACCUUUAACAGGGGGAUAACACUGAGAAAUUGGUACUAAUACCCCAUAACAUCAGGACCGGCAUCGGUUCUGGUUGAAAAUUCCGAUGGUUAGAGAUGGGCAUGCGUUGUAUUAGCUAGUUGGUGGGGUAACGGCUCACCAAGGCGACGAUACAUAGGGGGACUGAGAGGUUAACCCCCACACUGGUACUGAGACACGGACCAGACUCC